Molecule: ribosomal RNA, 402 nt
Filed under: uncultured bacterium
Lineage: Bacteria
Description: bacterial SSU rRNA
Rfam family: Bacterial small subunit ribosomal RNA
Source: RNAcentral
UGGGGAAUCUUGGACAAUGGGGGAAACCCUGAUCCAGCCAUGCCGCGUGAAUGAUGAAGGCCCUAGGGUUGUAAAAUUCUUUCAGCGGGGAAGAUAAUGACUGUACCCGCAGAAGAAGCCCCGGCUAACUCCGUGCCAGCAGCCGCGGUAAUACGGAGGGGGCUAGCGUUGUUCGGAAUUACUGGGCGUAAAGCGCGCGUAGGCGGACCAGCCAGUCAGAGGUGAAAGCCCAGGGCUCAACCCUGGAAUUGCCUUUGAUACUGUUGGUCUGGAGUCCGGGAGAGGUGUGUGGAAUUCCGAGUGUAGAGGUGAAAUUCGUAGAUAUUCGGAGGAACACCAGAGGCGAAGGCGGCACACUGGACCGGUACUGACGCUGAGGCGCGAAAGCGUGGGGAGCAAACA